CAGUAGCCGCGGGAAUACGUAGGGUGCGAGCGUUAAUCGGAAUUACUGGGCGUAAAGCGUGCGCAGGCGGUUGUGUAAGACUGGUGUGAAAUCCCCGGGCUUAACCUGGGAACUGCGCUUGUGACUGCACAGCUAGAGUAUGGCAGAGGGGGGUGGAAUUCCACGUGUAGCAGUGAAAUGCGUAGAGAUGUGGAGGAAUACCGAUGGCGAAGGCAGCCCCCUGGGCCAAUACUGACGCUCAUGCACGAAAGCGUGGGGAGCAAACGGGAUUAGAUACCCCAGUAGUCCCUGUCUCUUAUAC
RNAcentral lists this ribosomal RNA (301 nucleotides) under uncultured bacterium. RNAcentral's name for it is "partial 16S ribosomal RNA". It matches the Rfam family "Bacterial small subunit ribosomal RNA", at positions 509 to 807 of the family's 1533-position model. The record is from RNAcentral.